AUCUAUGGCCAUAUCACUCUGAAUGUGCUUGAUUUUGUCUGAUCUUGGAAACUAAACAGGGUAGGGACUGUAUUUGGAUGGUGACAUAGGGGAAAUCAACUUCCAACUGAAA
This 112-nucleotide ribosomal RNA is filed under the name Octodon degus (degu). Lineage: Eukaryota; Metazoa; Chordata; Mammalia; Rodentia; Octodontidae. The record is from RNAcentral.